This 25097-nucleotide long non-coding RNA is filed under the name Marmota monax (woodchuck). The stretch from base 5232 to 5300 matches the Rfam family "tRNA". Lineage: Eukaryota; Metazoa; Chordata; Mammalia; Rodentia; Sciuridae. The record is from RNAcentral.
GGGAGAUAAGGCAGGGUGGGCACAGGCCUUUCUCCUCUCCAUGUCCCCAGCCUUUGGGAGACCUGUCACCUUGUGCCCUCCUGGGUAGUGCUGGUCUCCUUUGCCCUGGACUCCUCCCACCUAAAGGGGAACAGGGGCUUUCCCGGCUGGACCAUUAGUAACACAGGGGCCAAGGUCUUGUCCCAGGAGCCUAUUUCCAGGCGUGAGUGUGGGGCCACUCUGAGCAAACUGCAGGUUUCUUGGAACUGAUAGGCCUCAGUCACCCUCCCUCAGAUGUCUGACUUGCUGAGAGAUGGGUAAGUGCUUUAACUCCAGAAUGGGUGGCAUGGCAGGGCUGUGGAGCCCACAGGCCAGUUCUGAGCCGGGCCUGCCACUUUCUAGCAGUGGCUUGGACAAGCGGUUUAACUAACUUUUUAAAGCUUUGGUUCUUAGUAUAAUGGAUGUAAAGAUUCCUAUUCUGUUGGAUUAUCAUGAGAAUUAAGUGAAAUACUCCACUCUGUCCCUAGGCCAGGGUCAGGCAGUGGCUUUCCCAAGGGUCUGUAGCAGAGCCUGGCCUCAGCUGCACAGCUGUAGUUACUGAGUAAAUUCUCUACAAAUGGCAGCAGUUUUUUUCCAUACUUAUGUAUGUGAUCCAUUGACAAUAUCACCUCGAAUUUAUUAAUUAGAGACAAUGGAGGGCAAUUCGGGGUUAUACUUGGAGAUUCCAAGGAGAAAGCCUUGAAAUGCAGAAAGGAUUGGGUGGGUGGGUAGGUGGGGGGGGGUCCCAGAGUCUGGCUCUGGCAGGAAGUUAUGUUUUCCCCUUUCCCUCCUCCUCUCCCAUCCUCCCUCAGGCUGCCUCCGGCGCACUCUCCCUCUCCCGACUCCCCCUCUCUUCUCCACAUCUGGAUUCAACUAGGGAACAACAGGCUUUCUGUGAAUGCCCCCACCUUCUUCAGCCCUCAGUCCACUGCCUCAAAACUUUGAUUCUCAGGGGGUGGAAGGUGGGGCGGAGUGAGGUGGGGGUGGGGUUGGAAAAAUUUUGAACUUUCUCUUCCCAGAUUUAUAGGGUUAAAUCUGCACAACUCCCCCCCCCCUUGCUGGAGAUCCACCAAAGAGCCUGGAGCCCCAGUUCAGAGCUGGGGGUGGGGUGUCUCUGGAGGCAGGGGAGGCUGCAGUUCCUCAGCCCCCACCCCAUCCCAGGGCCAGCUUGCAGCCACCCCUCCCUGCCUGGGAGAAGCCCUGCUGGGCUCUGAGGCCAGGCAGUAAAUUGGAAUGCAGAAGUCACAGUCCAAGGCAGCUGUAACUCUCAUUAAAGUGACAUCAACCCCACUUCGGGAGGAUGCUGUAAAUCCAGGGAAAGGGGGCAUUCAUCCAGGGAGAACCGCAGAAGCAAAGAAAAAAACCAUAAAUAGAGGAGACGUGGUGUCUGGAACUAAUGGUGGGGCCCUCCCUGCCCAAGGCUGUGCUGAACUGGGGGUGGGGAAGGAGCUAAGGCCAGAGGAGGGGGAUGGGGGUUCUGAGCCAGGCCCUAGGGCCUAGUGAAUCCAAAGGGCACAGCCAAAGCCCUGCCUACAGUUGAUUGUCCUCUGCCCUUUCUGCACAUUCUCUUGGGCUGAGGCUGGCACUAGGAAUCAGAGUUGGUUUUUGUCCUUGGGGGAAUGACUAGGGGCUUUCCCAGGGACAAGAGAAGCUGUUGGCUUUGGCCAUUAAGGUUUUGUCAGUUCUCCUGUGAUCAGACAUCUGGGGGUCAGUCUCUGGGUUUAUAACCCAUCACCCGAAUUCAUAUCUUGUCUCUACUACUUGCUUCCAAGCUGUGGGCCUUGGAAGAGUUGCUUCUACUUUAAAAAACCUCAGUUUAAGCCUGGCAUGGUGGACACAUCUGUAAUCCCAGAGACUCAGGAGGCUGAGGUGGGAGGACAACAAGUUUGAGGCCAGCCUCAGCAACUCAGUGAGACCCUGUUUCAAAGUUUUAAAAAAAUAAUUUAAAAAAGGCUGGGUGGGUAGCUCAGUGGUAGAGAGUCCUAAGUUCAAUCCUCAGUAACAAAAAACAAAACAAACAAACAAAAGAAAGAAAGAAAGAAAAAGGAAGCCUCAAUUUUCCUUCAAUAGAGAACCGGAAAGGUCGCCCACCAAAGCUUGAUGUGAAAACCCAAGUAGAAAGCACAGACCAUUUCUGGUGGUGUGCAGGUACUAAUUGUUGAGUGACUAAAUGAUUCCCAGGUCCCCCCACCCCAUCACUGCCCAGAAACAGAUUUAUUUUCAGCUUUCCUNGCCUUAAAAUUGUGAUCUUCUUGCUUCAGCAAGUGCUGUGCCACCGUGCCUGAAUUCCUUUGUGCCUGACUCUGGAGUUUGUCGCCGAGGGACCUUAGGACAGUCACCUAACUUUCCAGGACUGAGUAUGGGUGUUGCUUUUUUCCUCCUAGGAAGUGAAACACUGGUGGGAGGCCGGGUUUGGAGUGGAGAGGGCAGAGUGUGCUGUCUGUAGUGGAAGCACCACCCCUUUGCUUUAGGGUCUAUGGUGUAGCCCAGGUCUCUCCUUCCCUGGGAACCCCAGGCAGGCUGCAUUCUAGAACCUUCUCCUGGGAUCAUUCUAGACUCCCUCCUCCUCACCUACACCAGGAACCUCAGACAUAGGCUGGGAGGCCACCCCACCUUUGCUCUCAGGCCCUGGGUGCUAGUGGCCACCCCAUUCCGAGGAAGGUUGAAGGCAAUCAUGUUCUCCUGAAAGUGUGAAUGAAGGAGAAUGAGCAGGCCAGAGAAUUCCUUCAGCCUUCCUCUUGGCCUUGAGUAUCAGUGUGCUUCAGGGUCCCUUGAGUGCUUGUUAAAUCAUGCAUGGUGGGCCCCGCCGUGGGAGCCCCACAUCAGCAGAAGCCCUGUUUCAGCAAAUCUGAGAGGAGGCCUAAGAAUCUGCAUUUCCAAUGUCAUGCACUUUGAGAACCACUUCUCUAGAGUGGUCUUGUUCGAAUUCAGGCCUUUUUGGGGGGCCGGGCGGGGAUACAGGAAGUUGAACUCAGGAGCAUUCAACUACUGAGCCACAUCCCUAGCCCUACUUUGUAUUUUAUUUAGAGACAGGGUCUCACCGAGUUGCUUAGCGCCUCACUUUUGCUGAGGCUGGCUUUGAACUCAGCCUCCUGAGCCCCUGGAAUUACAGGCAUGUGCCUCCGCGCCUGGCAAAUUCAGGCUUCUUUUGCUCCAUCAUUGUAGACUUGCAGCUGCAGCAAAGAACUGGCUUAGGCAGACUCCACCGUGUGGGUGUGUAGACUUUCAAAUCAAUUGGGACCCUCAGGGGCCAUCAGUCACAGCUGUGCAAAGAGCUGGCAGCUGAAGGGUGUGCUUGGUGAAAUAUGGACUUGCAGGGUGGGCUAAAGACCUGCCUGUUGUGUUCCCAUAGUGACAUAAACAUCGAUGAGAAGGGUGUCACACAGGGGGAAGCAAGGAGGGGAGAAUGGUGACCAUAUGUGACAUGCUGAUGGCCAAAGAGGCAUCAAAGACUUGCGGGGUGGGCAUGACCAUCUGUGUAUUUAACAAACUCCCCCGGCAAUUCUCGUGCAUACCCAUGUUUGGGAGCUGCUGCCAUGGAGGGUACUGGUGUUAGAGAUUGCGUUUUCUUUGAGGGCCUCUCUCAUCCCUCCUUCCUCCCAACCAAAAGGGCUUAGAGAAAAAGAGAUUGGGCGUGGGAAUGCAGAAAUUAAAUUGGGUGAAAUGGUCUAUGAUUCAACUAGGGGACAACAGGCUUUGUUCUCUAGUGCUUGUGACAAGAGUCCAGCACAAUCAAUUGAAAGGAAAAGCAAUAAAACUAGGCUUUGAAACAUCCAGAAAUGAUGCCCAGAAGGCUGGCUUGGGGAGGAGAGCAUGACCUUCCCCACUGUGGAUGGCCGGGGAGACACACACGCAGGUAGAGACAGUCCUGCAAUUCAUGAGGAUGCUUCUGGGGCUUACUCCUUGAGGAGGCUGAGACUUCCUGAGGGGUAGGAGCAGGGGUGAAGUGAGGAGGGGAGGCCACCUGCUUCCCCACCAGGACAUGGCCAACCAAUCAACCAGGACUCAGAGGGAACACUCUUGCCCCUGGGACCCACAGUCUCUUAUCCUGACACCCCAUGCCCUCACCUCUUGUGAAAGCCAGUUCUGAGUCCAACCUUCUCUCCAAGGGCAGCAUCCAGGGCUCCGGCCCUACUGACCACACACCCAUCACUUUUCUCACCAGACCUGGAACAGUGGUUUCCGGGGCCUUCCAGGAAGGUCCCUCAGGAUGAGUCCCUGGUGAGGGAGAUCUAUUUCCUUCACCUUUCAAAAGGACACAGCCUGACAGGAAGGAAUGGACUGAGGAGACACAUAAAAGAAUAAACAGGGCUUAGGACUGCUUUAGACAUUGUGUUGUGUGAGGUUUCCAUGUUGUAAUGAUGCCGUAGGUGUCCAAGCACUUCACAGUUUGCAUUAGGGCAUUUUACCUCCCCCCCCCCCCCCCCCCCCCCCCCCCCCCCGAGGAAGGCAGAGGGGUCAUGAGAUCCUAUUUAAAAAGGAGAAAGCUGUGGGCAGAAGAAAUGAAAAGACUUGUCUAAAUCUACACUUCAAUGCAAGGGUUUGGACCCAAACAGGAAUGUGGGCUUCUUGUUCCCAGCUAAAGGAAGUUGAGUUCACUUCUCAGAAACUGGUAUUAGGUUUGGAGUAGAGGGAGAGAGAACAGAAGUUGCAGUGAGUAUCUGGGUGCCUGGCCAAGAAUGUCCUUUGCGAUGGAGAUACUCAUGGCCCCAACUGCACAGUGAUGACUGAGAAGGCCCACAGCUCCGUCCCCUGGGAAUGGCCCUUAGCUUAAGGGAACUACAUUGCCCAAGGUUAUGUCCCCCUCAAGGUAGGGGACCUUGCAUCCAAUGACAGCUGCUUUGGGGAGUAAAGGUUCAGUCCCCUUGCCUUAGUGCAGGACCUCUGUGCAGGCCCUCCCCAGCUCCAGAGCUCUGCAAAGGGUUGGCCAAGUCUUUGGCCACAACUGCAGUAGCCCAGCUUCUCUCCAACCCAGGCCUGCUCCCUUCAUUCCCCCACAGGGCUUCACCCAAUAAAUGCAUAUGUACCUCUUAAAGUCUGAUUUCUAGGAGACUGAGUUAAGAAGGGAGCUAACAUUAACAAGAUGUGUUUGCUUGUUUAUUUGUUAUUGAGAUGGUCUCUCUUAAUAAAACAAAUCUAUGAAACAAACAUUUUUUGCUGUUUCUUCUUGGGGAAAGUUUAAAGCAAUUGUCAAGAUCACAUAGUAGGGGGCUGGGGUUAUGGCUCAGAGGUAGAGCGCUUGCCUAGCAUGCAUGAGGCACUGGGUUCGAUUCUCAGCACCACAUACAAAUAAAUAAAAUAAAGGUCCAUCAACAACUAAAUCACACACCAUAUUUAAAAAAAUAUUAAAAAAAAAAGAUCACAUAGUAGGCUGGGUACAGUGGUGCAUGCCUAUAAUUCCAGCUACUUAGGAGGCAGAGGCAGAAGGACCACAAGUUCAAGGCCAGCCUGGGUAAAAGAAAGAUCCUGUCUCAAAAUAAAAAGGGAUUAGGGGCUAGCUCAGUAGCAGAGCAGUUGUUUAGCAUGUGAGAGGCCCUGGGUUCAAUCCCCAGUACUGGGGGGCAAAAAAAGAUCACAUAGCGUCGAACAAAGCUGAGACCCGAAUCCAGGACCACUCUGACUUUGAGGGCACAUGCUGUAGUCACUGUCCACUCUAUGGAAUGUGGCAGAGUCCCUGACCCUGACCUGAGGGGUCCACAGUGGAAAAGUCAGCAGGCUAAAGACCUGCCUGUUGUGUUCCCAUAGUGACAUAAACACCCAUGAGAAGGGUGUCACACCUGGCAUGCAAACAGGGGGAAGCAGGGAGGGGAGAAUGGUGACCAUAUGUGACACGCUGAUGGCCAGAGAGGGAGCAGGCAACUCUGGUGGAGGAACACCUCAGGGUGACCACAGGUCUCAGAGCCAGAGCUACAGACACCAUCAGCCCCUGCCAGGAGCAGCCACAGUGGCCAAUUGAACCUCUUUCUAUAGGCCCCAUACAGCAGGGACUGCUGGCUCUGAGUCUCCCUUGAGCACAAAAGGUUGGCAAGACCCAGCCCCAGUCCUGGCCCAGUAAAAAGUAAGGGACCCCUGGACCUUUCUGGCUAUCUGAUGCUCCAUCUGGUCCCCACACAGUUGAGUACUGCCUGGACUCUGGGACUGAUUUGGUAGUAGUCAGGGUGAGUUCAAGGUCAGCAUCUUGCUGCCACAGCCACAAGCCUGUCUGUAGCCUUUCCCUCAGGCCAACCCCAGAGCUCUCUGGAGAUAGGAGUAGAAAGAAGGCUCUUCCUAAAGUUUUGUCUCUGGAGAUCCCAACCUGAUUCUACUUUCACACAUUUAAUUCUAGAUCGGAGUCUAAUGCUGGAGUCCUCCUGAGGAGUGGUGGCCUUGGAACUGCACCUGGGGAAGAGCUGCAAGUCUGGAGACAAACCAAGCAGGUGCCAUCUUGGUUCUCGUGGGUUUGUUUAGCAUUCAUUGGCAGCUCUUAGUCAGCUUUGGCAUCAAUUCAAAAAGUGGCUUUUGGGGGUUCAUCCCAUCACCUGGAGAUUCUGAACACAUGCUUAUAGCUCACACACAGAGAAACAAAUAUAACUCUUUUACUUUCUCUUAUUAAGCUAGCUCUUCCCCUGGGGACAUGAGCUGGGAGAUAUGCAGCCUUCCCUGAGAAGAUGAGACUCCCUCGGGGAGAAGUCAGGUGCCUAGAAGUAACACCUGCUGAGUGUACCCCGCCAAUUGGAAAUCUUCUGUGCCCAGGGCUCAGGUGGCUAGUGAUGUCACUCAGUGGCAAGGUGCUUGCCUAACAUGCACAAGGCCUUGAUUUCCAUCCCCAGAGCCACAAAAAGAAAAAGAAAGACUCUUGUCCCUUAGGAUGUUCAACUAAUGUGUGAAGAAAACUCCUUGCCCCAGUAACCAGGAUGACAGGAGCAAGGGCAGGUCUGUGUGCCAAGGGCUGAUGUCAUGCAGGAAGGGGCAGCAGCAAGACCCAUUUUUAAAAUAUAUAUAUAAUUAAAUAUAUACACAAUUUUUUAUAUAUAUAUAUAUAUAUAUAUAUAUAUAUUUCUAAAUGGACACGAUUUAUUUAUUUAUCUAUGUAUGUAUGUAUGUAUGUAUUUAUGUGGUGCUGAGGAUGGAACCCAGUGCCUCACACAUGCUGGGUGAGAGCUCUACCACUGAGCUCCCAGACCCAUACUUGAGCUGGGCCUCGGUUUCCUCACCUGGUGGGGAAUGUUCUUCCAGUCGUGGGAAUAUGUUUGUGACUGCUGUCUCUUCUCUUCCUUAUAUUUUUUUUUAAUCUUUGUGAGAAAAAUCCUGCUGUUCUGCUUGUUUUCUCUGAGCCGUUUUGUUAGUUGAGGUGUUUGCAUGCUGAGCAACACACACUAAUAUUUUCCUUUGUAGCAAAACAUUAAUUAUCCCAUCCAGUAACCUUUCUCUCGGGUAUUUUGUUCUUACCACCCCCUAAGCUGUUGGACACCAAGCAAUUUCUGUAUUUUCUCAUCAUCUCAGCAAGCCGACUACAAGGGCUGGGGGGGAGAGCAUUCCCACUUGGCUGUGCUCAGGCUCUUCUUCCAGACACUCCCCGACACACACACAGUGGCACCCAGUACUUGCAGAGCACCCUGCGAGGCUGCUGUCCCAGCACUGUUCAUGCUGUGUGGGAACUCUCUGUUUACAUCUCCCAAGAGGCUGUGAAUGCACUCAUGUCUUUAUUCCAACUGUGCUCGGCACACACAGUGGCUCUCUGAGUGUGCCCUAUAAGCAGAUGGGUGAAGGAAACUGAAGGACUGAACAGAGGAUGCGCAGCCCCAGAACCCAGAGCAGCCGCCCAUUGGCCCCUCAGCCUCCAUCUCUUGCCCAUUCACACAAGCAGCAGUGGAAGGUGCGCUUUGCAUCUUGGCUGUCCCUGCCACUUGGUGAGCCUCUGUCCCCACCUGAAGCUAUCCUCAGCUGCAGCCUGUCAGUGCGCUCACCACUGGGAGCCCAGUCUCCUCUUCCCCAGAGUGAGAUGGGACAGAAGGAGGAUUUGGAACCAGGAGUCCCCGGAGGCCCCAGGGAACAAAGGCAGAAUGUGAAAGCAUCUUAGCAAUCCCUGGGCACCAACCCUUGCUCCUCCCACCUCAAAGACCAGGGGAUUCACCAGGCAUGGUGGCACUCGCCUGUAAUCCCAGUGAGAUUACACUCGCCUGUAAUCCCAGCAGGAGGCUGGGGCAGGAGGAUCACAAGUUCAAAGUCAGUCUCAACAACUUAGUGAGGCCCUCAGCAACUUAGUGAGACCCUAUCUCAAAAUUUAAAAUAAUAAUAUUAAUAGUAGUAAUAAUAAUAAUAAUAAUAAUGGCCGGGGUUGUAGAUCAGUGGUAAGCAUCCCUGGGUUCAAUCCUGGUACAAAAAACCCAAAAACAAACAAACAAACUAACAACAAACAAACAAACAACCAUGAGGACGGUCUCAGGGUCUUAGAGAGCUGAGGGGUCAGGUCCACAGUCACCUACAUGGUGAAUGGAGGAGUUGGGACUCAGGCCCUGGGCAGUUGUCAAGAGCAAGAACCUCCUAAUUAAUUCUGAACACAGGGCCUUUCAAAUCCCUUGUGCUGCCACACUAUGUGCCACAGAGAGGAGGGAAAGGCCUGGUGGUCUCCAUGUGUGCAGCACACACCCCUUCCCUUUCCUGGCAUCCUUCUGAAGGAGGCAGAGUGGCCAUGACUUCUUCAUUUUGCAGAUGAGGUCACUGAGGUGCAGAAGGUGGAGCUGAGCUGCUCACAGUAGCAGAGCUGUCCAGUGCAGCCCACGCCCAGCCCUACCAUGCUCUCCAGCUGGAUCCCUCUCCUGCUGUGUCCUUUUCUCCAGGAUCCUGAGACUCCAAUAGAGGUACCAGAUACCCUGCUCCAGAGGUGUCUCUGUGGGUCCAACCAGAGUCCAGGAUCCCUCCUCCUUGCCCAGGGCUGGGGAUCUGCAGAUAGGGCUGUCGCUCCAAUGAGGCUUCAAGCUGUGGGCUCUAGGCCUGGGGGUUGGAGGGCGGGAGAGUCUUCAGAUGGUUCCACUGGGGCAGCUGAGGUGGCCAUGAGCUCAGCUUACCCAGAACAGCCCUGCUAAAAGCCCAUACAAAACCCUGGAGCUCCUGAUUGGCACUGCUAGGCCUCCCUCCCAGGACAGCGGGAUAGGAGAUAAAAGCCCUCCUCCAACUGGAGACAGUUCCAGAUGAAACCUCCCAGAGCAUUCAUCCUGACCAGCUUUGGAAAGUGGGCAGCAGGUGGCUCACAAAACCCUUUUCAUUAGUCUCUGUCUGUCCCAGUCACUUGUGAAAGUCACCUAGUCUUUGGUCCUAAAACCAAGUACGCUUUUCUCUACCAAGAGUUAGGCCUGGUUUCUGGCUUUGUCCACACCCCAAAAGGGUAAAGGAGGCUCCUGGGAAGGGAGGAGUGAUCAAGCCACCUCCCUCUUAUGAAUUGGACCCUCACUCUUUGCAUGUACCUUAAAUGAUCCCCCAAAACUAGACCUUUACAUCAUAACCAGUUUCCAUCUGGGACUGGUUCCCAUUGGCUGACCUGAGGGUGAAGCUAAGGAAAGAAGGUGUAUCUGAACUUUUCCUGUUUAUCUGAUCAUCUGUUGUUAUCUGUCCCCACCCUUAUAAUGUAAACUGUAAUGCUAUAAUAGGUUCAUGUAGGAACUUCAAUGCUAAAAGUCAUAUAUCCUGUUACUAUAUAGUGUUUGCCUAUCAGCUGGGGACAUCUGAGACCAGAUGUCUCAUGGCCAAGGGGAUUUUGCACUGACUGGCUAGGCCUGGGAUACACUGGUCUGUACACAUGACUCCCCUGCUCAUAUACCCUGUGGCUCCCACUGCAGGAUGUUGAGUCCCCUUCCACAGCCUGACCUUCAAGGCCCGCCACCCUCUUACUUCUGCCACACUGACCUCCAGAUCCCCAAGCUUUGGCACAUGGGGUUUUCUCCCUCCUUGCCUCCCAUCCUUCCUUCCUCCCUCCCUCCCCUUAAAGAACCCUAGACACUCUUCUUUUGGGGGAGGGUAACGGGCAUUGAACUCAAAGGCUGUCAACCACUGAGCCACAUCCCCAGCCCUAUUUUGUAUUGAGGAGAGGGUCUCACUGAGUUGCUUAGCACCUCACAGUUGCUGAGACUGGCUUUGAACUUGCGAUCCUCCUGCCUUAGCCUCUCAAGCUGCUGGGAUUACGGGGGUGCGCCACUGUGCCUGGACCCAAGACACUUUUCUAGGAGCUGGAGACACAGGCAUUAAGUGCAGUGGACAAGGCACAGGAAACCUUUGCUUUCACUGUAGGGGUGGAGACAGAUAAAAACAGAUAUGCAAAUAAGAUGAAUUCAGAUGUGCUGCGAAUACAAUAAAACAGGGGGAUGUGCUAGGGGGUUCUGUGGGGUUGGAAUGAGCUCCAAUUCUGCUCCCUACUCCCUGAUCUGCACAGGUACAUGUUGCUUAAGGCCUCCCAGAGGCCACCUCCUCCAGGAAGCCCGCCUACCACAACUCCUGGUCUGGCAGGUUCCCCCCACCCCACACUGGACUCCAGACCACUUUGUUCCCUUUCCUCUGAGGGAAGGUAUAGAGUGUCCUGUUCUGUAGGCAGCAUCCACCCCUGCUGCAGAGCUGAGCGCAGGGCCAGAGCAAGCCUGUACCUCCCUCUCGCCUGGCACAUGCCAAUGCACGGAGCUGCUGCUCGAUGGGGUUUACCAGGGAAACCGUGCAACGGUCUCUCUUCCUUCAAGGGAGAAGAGCUACAAGGGCUGAGCCCCAGGGUCAUUAACUGAAAAGAGAGCUACUUCUAACCCUGGUGAGGAUCAGGCCUGGGGAUGGGGUACAGUUGAAUGGAAGAAUCCAUUUCCCCAGCGGGUGGGGGCAGUGAUGGGUGGGUUAAAGUAAACCCAGGGUCAGGGAUGUGUCCCAUUCUUUUUUUUUUUUUUUUGAUAGUAGAGAUUGAACCAGGGAUGCUUAACCACUGAGCCACAUCUUCAGCCCUUUUUGUUUUUUAAGUUAGGAAAGCUAAGUUGUUUAGAGCCUUGUUAAAUUGCUGAGGCUGGCCUCAAACUUGUGACCCUCCUGCCUCAGCCACCUGAGUUGCUGGGAUUAUAGGUGUGCCUGGCAACCUUCUUUUAAACCUUUAAAUGGUUUGCUUUGAUGAGGGGGCUAAAAACAACACAAUGCCUCUUCCUUGGCUUUGAAAAUUCUGAACUGUGUAGCUCUGUGUGUGUGUGAUGGGGGAGGGUUGUCCUGGGACAUGUACUUUGAUAAGGUGUAGGGGCGGGUGUGGGAUGGCUGUGGGACGGCUGUGGUUUCGAGCAUGUGUGCAGUGGGGGUGUUGGUGUGCUGAGUGUGGUUCUGAACAGUGAGUGUAGGUGUGUGAGAGGCUGAGUGAAUGUGUAUGUGAACGCAGUGGUGAUGUGCAUGGGGGCUGGGGGCUGCUGUGGUGUGCAUGCUGUGUUUGGCUGGGUGAUGGUGUGGCAGUGGCUGGGAUGCCUGUGUGCCUGUGGUGAACCCCCCCGACCCCCAAUGAGGGGCCGAGGUGCAGACGGGGACAGGGAAGGUGGAGCAGCUGUGGCCAGGGCUCUGUGGGGCCAGCAUCCCUGGCAGUUAGGCCCUCCCCCAGCUGUGAAGACCCCACAGCUGGAAGCCAUCGGUGCACCCCCCCUCCCCAUCCCGUGAUGGCUUUUGGGGGUUGCACUUGCCUUUUCAGUUCCCUCAGGUUUGAAGCCCUCUCCUCAAGCCCCAUCCCCACUCUCUUUUCUACUGCCCAGAGCAGACACCAAAAUAUUUCUGCAUUUCCUCUGGAAAAAUCCUGGGAGGUCUGUUUAUGGCAGUAGCUGAGGAGUGCACAUCUGUACACAGUUUAGCUGGGACAGCUGGAAACUCAGGAACUGGAGUUUGCUUGCAUUUGGAGCACAUGGGUGCACACGGUGGCCCCCAUUCCAUCCUUCCCCAUAUUUGCAGGGUCAGGUCCUGUUGCUAUAGACAGAUAACCCCCCACUGUCCCUGUAUGCACACACCCACACAUGCAGACACACUCUGGCACACACUUGAUUUCAGGAGGACUCACAGAGGCACAGACAUGGAAUGGAUGAGGUGGCACAGAGGACUUAGUGCACAUAGGUAUGCUGGCAUAUUUGAAGAGCACACUUGGCACAAGCUUGGCUCCUCCAGCCCUGGAGGCCCCUCGCAGUGCACAGAAGCAGCAUCCUUGAACCUGUCACCCACAAGCUCCAUCUACAGCCCCAGACACGCAGGACAGCACAUGGUGACUCAGCACGCCCACUCGCAACCCUGAGGCAUGGGAGAAGGCGUGACUCAUCUCCAGCCUCCUACAGAAACCCACCUCGAGCCAGUCAGAGCCCCAACACUCAACUUUGGGCAAGGCCUGCCCUCCCCUGGGAGACCUGAGUACUCCGCAGCCUGGGAAGGUCCCUGUUCUUCCCCAUCAUGCCCUUUCCCUGACAGAGGCUGGGCCCUCAGCUGUAUUAUAUGUCCCUCUGUAGGGCAGGGGAGGACAGGGGAAUCGAGGACGCCCAAUUCUGACCUGCCUCUUACCCUCCUUCUGUUCCUGCACCCCAGAUCUUUCCAGAAGCCCAGGAAGUUCUGGGGCCACUCAUCUUACCAGUCUUCCCUCUUCCCUCCACCCCUGUCAGGAACUCAUCCUUCCUCAGUCCCCAACACUGCACCCUCCUUCUGCCCCCUCUUCUGGCUCCUCCUUCUGCCUCCCUCUUUCCUCUGGCUCCAUCUUCUCCCUUAGCCCCAGGCCUCCCAGAUUCCAGCAAAUCUUCAUGGUCAGGAUAGGAAUUUGCUCUUUAGGGCUUGUGGGGGAGGGACAGUCGAAGAUAAGGGAGAGUGGAGGGGGGGGGGUAAAGUGGAAGAAAGCAGAAGGAAUGGCUAUUCAAUGCCAGGUGUCCCACUGUGGGAUUCCCAGGGUUGGGAGACCAAGGGAGCAGGUGUUGGAGUGGGCAGGGACAGGUCUGUGCCACCUAAGCCGGCCUUGCUUUGGAGGGCACCAGUUUUAAGGCUCUGCUGGCCCACAUGGGGAUGAGUUUGUUGUUCUUGGCCUCUCCUAAUCUUUUCAGUCUAGACCAGGAUUCUCCAGACCAGUUCUGGGCCUCCCCUUCAACCGCCUCCAUCCUCCCACAGUCCUGUCUUGGUGGUGGCCUUAGGCCCAAGUAAUCUGCACUCUCUCAGGCCUUGCCAGUCCUCCUGGGGCUCUCCCUCUGGCUGGGAGCCCAGGCUGUCUGCAGACCCUGCCUCCCUGCAGCCCUUCCCACCCCUUUCUUCCAAGUUGGACCAUCAGCUAUUUUCAACUUUCUGUCCUAAACAAUUGUGGAAUUUUAUAACCCAAUUCAUGGGUUAAAACACCCUUGAAACUCCACUGGGAGCCUCAAAGCACUCUCUGUCCUUCAUUUCCUCUUUGUGAGGUUGGGGGCAAGCUUCCCCAAGCUUUGCACCUCAGGUUCCUAAAUGCAAAAUGGAGACACCAAUCUAUUAGACGACUGGAGGCCAGUGUUUGCCCAGUGCCCAGUUCAGGGCCUGAGAGUUAGCAGGGGCCCCUGAUGGAUGUUAAUCCCCUCUCCUUCUUCCACUUUCCCCUUUACUCUUCUAAAUAGUUUAAGCUAGGAAAGGGCAAGCUGACCCCACUGCCCCAGGGACAAAGGAAUGAUGGCCUCAGUUCAAGAGCAAAGUACAGGAGUUUUUGAUUAACUCAGAAACACCAUGGACUUCCAGCAGCCCAGCUGCUCUGGGGUGGGGUGAGGUGGAAAGGGAGGGGAGGUGCUGAGGGAAAAUGCAGGGGAGAGACUGGGAAAUUCAGAACUUAGGACUUGAGGGCAGGGGAAUGCUGAGGCCAAGGCCAUCCCCCUCACCUCUCUAGGGCCCAGGUAAUUCCACAGCCAAGAGGCAGAGCCCGUGCAAGGCCUAGGCUGGCCCUGAGAGCCUGUCCUGCACCCUCUGUGAGAAGGCUGGGUGCUGUCUGGGACUGCAAGGCCAUGGGUGCGCCCCUCUCUUCUUCGUCUCCCUUCCCCCAGCCUGGGGUGCGUCACAAGGGUGUUUUUCUAGACUCAGCUGGAACAAGGUCAUCUGGGCUUUGGAGGGGAAGAGCUGCAAGUGCCCUAGGUCAGUGCUCCCAGGGACUUGGCCAGAAAGCACAGGGUGGGGGUGGGGGUGGGGUGGAACACAGGGAACCCUGGGAGCCCUCAAGAAUCCCAGGGCUGCUCUCAGCCAGAGGGUCUCCCAGGGACCACAAAGCCCAUCUCUGCCUCCAUGCCAGAGAGAUCCCAACCCAUCCCAGGAAGAAAGCCAGAUGUUCUAAAGACCCACCCUUUCACACAGUGGCUGUUGGUUUGGUCUACACAAUCUUCCCCAUUUCUAAUCUGAAUCUUUUUUUUUUUUUUUUGGAUACCUGGGAUUGAACUCAGGGGCACUGGGCCACGGAGCCACAUCCGCAGCCCUAUUUUGAAUUUUAUUUAAACACACUUUCACUGAGUUGCUUACACCUGGUUUUUGCAGAGGCUGGCUUUGAACUCUCAAUCCUCCUGCCUCAGCCUUCCAAGCCGCUGGGAUUCCAGGCGUGUGCCACUGUGCCUGGCUCUAACCUGAAUCUUUUCUGCAAAUCUGAUAGACACCUUUAGGUUCCAGGAAUUAUUCAUGAUAUCCAGGAAGCAGUUUGUUUUUCCUCUUGUGAAUGAGCCAAAUUUGGGGAAGAGUCUAAGCUGCUGGUCUCCAGCCUCGCGGCCCCCAGCCCUCCUCCCCACCCAGCCACAUGGGAAAAUGCCCCGUUAGCCCUUCCAGUCAUGUGAAUGAGGCCACGAUUCAAAGGCAGUGGGCAAGAAGGAGGCCACAUAGAGCAGCCCGAAAGAACCAGCCCUUUGUGCUAGGCUGGGGUCCUUGGGGGAUGAGUGCAUGUUUGGCGUAUUUAGAAAGAUUUCUUUUUUAUAUAAUGAGCAGAGAGGAGGAAAGGGGAGGGCGAGACAGAGAGGCCAAAGGCAGGACUUGGGAAAAGAAGCAAGAGCUGGGGUGAGAGCUGCAAGAGCCACUAGAAGAGCAAAGGGAGGGAUGUAAAGGGGGCCAAAGAGUGCGGGGCAGGGAGAGGGGAAUCAAUUCUUUUUUUGGUACUGGGGAUUGAACCCAGGGGUGCUUAACCAUUGAGCCACAUCCCAGCCCUUUUAAAAAAUUUUUAUUUAGAGACAGGGUCUCACUAAUUUACUUAGGACCUUGCUAAGUUGCUGCAGCUGGUCUCAAACUUGAGAUCCUCCUGCUUCAGCCUCCUGAGCCUCUGGGAUUACAGGAGUGUGCCAUCGUGCCUGGCUGAAAGUGGGCAAUUCUUAAGACCCACAGAGAUAGUGACUGUGUGGAGUUCUUCAGAAAAGCAAGGUUGCUCACUUAUUUGGGGGUGGACGGAUGGAUGAAAUGGAGGUGCCAGGAGAAGGUUUUCCUUCGAUUUUACUUGGGGGAAGAACGAGACUAGCUUUGACUGUGCUGGGACGUGCUCGGUGCUCUAUAAGCAUUAUAUCAUUCAGUCCUCACAACAACCAAAUGAGACAGGGACUAUCUUUAGCCCCACUUCACAGUUGGGGAGCCAGAGCCCUUGAGAGGGUAUGCACUUGCUAAUGCCUAUCAUGAUAGCGGUCAGCUAAGAAGCAGGGUCUGCGUCGAAUCCCGCCUUCUGGUCUUUGCUCACCAUGCUGCUAGGCUAGGUGGGGCAUGGUGCACCUCAGGAGAGAUGAAAGGAGAGCCCCAAAUCAUCCAAUGGUGGGGGCAUGCCAAGAGGAGACUUGGUUCUAGGACAGUAAUAUUUUCUAGUCGUCUCAACAAGCCUGCCUGGGAUCUUUUUUGGGGGUCCUUGAUGAGGUUGGGCACCCCAUCUCCCCUCCACCUGGGAUCCUCUCUGCCACAAUCUGAUCCUCCCACAGAGAAUAGACAGAGGGUCAUUUCCUUCAAUGUCCUGCGUCCUCAGUAACCAGAGUUCUGGGGUGGCCCAGGAGACAUCUUUCCUCCUCAGUUCUUGGCAAAGCAGAUAUAACCAUGGCUCUCAAGAGCCCCUGUUCUCCAUACCCCCUCCCCUCUCUUCUUCCUGUUUUCCAUUCAGCCUCCCCUCUGUUUAUGCAUUUGUUUCUCCAGGACCUGCCUUCACUGGCCUGGAAGAGGGGGACACCUGGCUCUGUGCUGGAAUCCUCAGGUUCAUACAUUCAGAAACAUUUCUAGAGCAGAGACUUAUUUUGGAAUAAGCAAGGAAGUGGGCAAUAACACAGUCUCUGCUCUUACAGGGCCUGACAGCUGGGGCAACGAAGGAGCCAAUCAACGAGUCCACUGCAUGGCGAUAGGGAUGGCUGCAGGGGCCCUGGGAGGCGGGGAGGAGUGGCAAGUUGAGGAGGGCUUCCUGGAGGCAGUGGGGACAGACAAGUCUUGAAGAGAGACCCUCCCUUUAUCAAAUUCUAAUUUACUAUUCCCUUUUCUCUGCUCUUACAACCCAUUUUUGGAAAACAACAGCCAUUCAUCCAUUCGCUAAUGCACUGCAGAAUGUGUGCCAGGCACUGUGCUGGUGUUUGGAAUUCACCAAUGGUGAAGACCGACUUGCUGCCUUCCUGAAGCUGCCAGACCAGUGAGAACCACCAAGCAGGCAAGCAAGGACCCCACAGAGCCCACGUGGAAUCUGUUCUCUCAGAGAAAGGCCUCAAGUCAAGGAGGAGAAGCCACGAUGGCCAUUUUACAGAGGUGGUGGCUUGUCCAAGCCAUAGGGCAAGUACACAGGGAAUCUGAGGCCCCACCUCAGUCGUCAGGCCCUGAGCGCCUGUUCUUGUCUCAUACUUGGGUGGUCCUUGCAGAAAAAUAGGGGCUGAAAGUAAGCUUGCUACCUAAGGGUGACUGGGUGUGGGGUGGGCAAUUAGGCAAGAGAAGAAAUUGAAGACAUUCAAUAGGAAAGGAAGAAGUGAAACUAUCACUGCUGAUAUGAUCACAUGAGUAGGAAGCUAUAAGGAGUCCGUUACAAAACCGUUAGAAUUCAUCGCAGUGUACAAAAACCAACACACACAAAUCAGGAACGUUUCUAUUUGCCAACAAGGAAUUUUGUGAAAAACUAAAUGUAGAGAAAUUAAGAGAACAACUCCAUUUACAAUGGCUACAAAAAAUACUUAGGAAUAAAUUUAACCAAGGAAGAGAAAGACUCGUGUAAUAAAAACAAUGAAAUGUGGAUUAAAGAAGACAGAAGUAAAUGGAAAGAGAUCCCCUGUUCAUGGAUCGGAAUCGGAAUAAUUAAUACAGCUAAAAUCUCCAUAUUUCCCAAUGCGAUCUGCAGUUCAGUGCAACCCCCAUCGAAAUUUCAAUGUCCUUUUUCCUAGAAAUAGAAAAUCAGGUACUUUUCUUUGUAACCUGGGUCUAGUAUUCAGUUUUCUCCUGCUUCUCUCUCUUCUCCCAGUAGGUGGGGCCAUGGGAAGGGCUGGGAAGGGCUGGGAAGGGCUGGGAAGGCCCGGAAGUAGAUGUUCUAAGUCCCUGGGCUAAGCCUGGUGGGGUGCACAGAAUGUUCCUUGGCUUCUGCAUCAUCCCCUCUUCCUCCCACCUCCUCCAGCUCCUCUCCAGCCUUCUCACAUUCUAUCUCCCCCUCUUCAUCUUUUGCCUUUUCUUACUCCAUUAAUUUCUUCUUCCUUUCCCACUCAUCUUGCUUUCUCCUUUCCUUCCUCCCCAUUUUUUCUCCCUAUCUUUUAUCUCCCCCCCUCCUUCCCCCUUCUUUUCUUCUUCGAACUAAUUGCUCAAAGGUGAAGACCAGGUCGACUUGUGAAAACCCUGAUCCAUCGCCAUGGUGAUGCUAAUUCAAGCUGAGUUCAAAGGAAAUUGCUCCAGUUAAAACUAACAAGCUGGAGCCGGCGCCCAGCAAGGACCAGUGCCAAGAGGAGCGAGCCCUGAGCCCCAGUGCCCAGAAAAAUAGGAAAACAACCCCAAGGGCCUCUCACACGCCUACUCCUUACCGUGCCCUCCCUUGCAGCCUUCAGGUCUGUCCCAGCCCAGAGCAAAUCUGCAAGGUCUUUGCAGCAAGCCCCCUGUCUCCAGGCCAGACUUCCCAAGCCACGUCAAGCAGCUGGGCAGCCAGCACCAGCUCUGUUUUAAAGCCAUUGCAUAGUCUCCCUCACGCUGCGGUUCUGGGGUUUAACCACCCUUGCUUUGGAGAGUUCUUUACGGUCCACACCAACACUCUGCAUUGCUUUCUAGUAAGGAUAGACUUGGAAGUACCAGGAGCAAAGGAACAAACCCGAAGAGAUGCUUGCUGUGAGUUCGAUGCUGUCCUAAGACUUCAUGAGUGUUUGCUCAAUUUUGUGGGAAAGAUCCCAAUGGAACAAACUGCUAGGAGCCUGGGGUGACUCCAGCAAGGUCUGGCUGGUUUAAAGAACCACAUGGCAGCCCUCAAACUGGGGAGAGAUGCCUCAAAACUGGAAAGAGGAGGGUCUAAGUACCAGUGACACCCUUCAGGGCUUUGCCCCCUCCAGUCCUUCCUUUCUGGCCCCACAGCCUGCAGCUGUGGUGCCUUCCAUCUCAGCACAUGCCACUUGUAGUCUGGUCACCUGCAUGUGGUUCUUCUCUACUCUGAGGGCAGGGUCCAUGCCUUCUUUUUGCACCGAACAAAAUCUGUUCCAAAGCAGGCCGUGGCUCAAUAUUAAUUUCAUGUCUGAAUGCUGAAGGGGAAGGAAUCCUAGAUCCUUGGGAGGUACAAAAAUUUUAGUUCCCUCAGGUCAUGAGACUCUGAAGGAGCUGGGUUAGGGGAGCUCGGCCCCAUGGUACCAACCGCAGACCAGCUGGAGAAUUUUCUGCUGGAUCUUGUAGUUCUGGUCCGUUGGCCAGGCCACCCUGGACACCCUACUCCUUAGCAGCUCUCACCUCUCUGCCUUUGACCUUCCAGAAGACCUCAUUCCUUUGCUCAACACCCAGUUUUGUGUUUUUUUUUUUUUUUAAAUUUGUAUCUGGGAUGGAACCCAGGGAUACUUUGCCAUGAAGCGACAUCUCUAUUCCUUUUUAUUUUUUAUUCUGAGACAAGUUCUCACUAAGCUGCUGAGGGUCUUGCUAAGUUGCUGAGGCUGGCCUUGAAUUUGCAAUCCUCCUGCCUCAACCUUCUGAGGUGCUGGGCUUACAGGCGUGUGUUCACUGUGCCAGGCUUUUCAAUUCAAUUUUAUUGUUUUAAUCCCAAGAUAUCUAGUGAUCCUCUAGGAACUAAAGAGGUACUGGUCUAGCAGAGGGAGAAAUUCCUUGAAGGCCAAGACCACAUCUAUGCAACCAUCACCUUCUGGUAACCAAAGCACAUAAAAAUGCUGUGAGCUCACUGGAGGGCGCCACAAUUAAAUGAGAGAGUGACCUGAGGCCUGGCUGCCCCAUGGGAAGGAGCCCGAGGGCUUCAGCUCUGCUUUCCUCAGAUGUGCUCCUCCGCUUUGGGAAGGCUCCUCUGCUCUUUGUUCCUCAGCUUCUCCGAGUGUAACAAAGGAUGCUCAUUGCUCAGCCACCUAGCGCUCCCAGACACGUCAGGAGAGUCAGGAAGCUAAGAAUGUGGGACAGCGUCCCUACCUGCACCAAGGCCAGCAGCGCCUCCCUCCCCAACCCAGGAGGUGGUGAAUUGAGGUUCAAGCCCAACCUAUGUCCUACAGACUGUGGGAUUCCCCCCACGUGCACCCCAACGACUGUCCUGAAGGGGAUUACUGUGCCUGGAUUACAGAGGCCAAGUCCUGCCAGGAGGGAGGAGGAAGUGACUCAGCAGGGGCUGGGAAGGCCAGGCCAGCCUCCCACUCUGGGACAGCUUGCAGGGAGCUUUGUGCUCAGCCCUGUUCCUUUCAUCCCAGCAUCUCAAAGCCCCUUUCAAGCUGGAAGCAGCCCUGGGAGCUGGGUCAUUAUCUCAAUUAACAGGAGAAAGCUGAGGCCCAGGCUGGUGGGGGCAACUUUCUUCUGAAUUAAGCCUGGGCAGCCAGAACUUCCCAGCCCCAGGCUUCUGACCCCACUCCGGGUUGGCUGCAGGGGCCUGCUGUGGAGCAAGCAGGAGGGGGCCGAUUUGCCCUUGCCUGUCACUCCAAGCAAGGAUCAAGGUCUUGCAUGAGGACCUGGAGGGGAUAUUGGCAGUGCUGGAAUUUCCUAGAGAACAGUUCAGUGAUGCCAGGUGCCAUGUGGUGGCACACGCCUGUAAACCCAGAGGCCAGGGAGGCUGAGAGAAGAGGAUUGAGAGUUUGAGGCCAACCUCAGGAAUUUAGCAAAGCUCUAACCAACUUAGUGUGACUCUGCCUUAAAAGAACAAAUAAAAAGGAGUGGAGAUGUAGCUCAGUGGUUAAAUACCUCUAGGUUCAAUCCCUAGUACCCAAAUAAAACAAAACAAAACCAUCAAAACAACAAUAAAAAACCAAAACAUUUCAGUGCCCACCAUCCUCACAGUUGUUGCUCAGGAGGAACUUAUAUAGAACGUGUUUUUCCAAGCCGGAGAGAAGGGCUAAGGUGAGUGAACACAUUCUAGGAGUAGACGCAGUUUGGUUUGGGGAGAUCGUCCCCCCCUGGGGGAAGCAUACCUAGGCUGUGGAGACCCUGAGCCGUAUUAGCCAGCAGAUUCUAUUGAGUUUCUCCCAUCUUCACUGUUAGGAGAUUUAUCCAACAAUUCAACCAAUGAUUGCUGGGCUGCUGUGUACCCAGUCUGAGGCAAACAGCACAGUUCUAAAUCCUGCUCAGGUGCUGCCUGGCUGUGCAAACUUGGGUCUUUAACCUCUCUGAACUUCAAUUGCCUCAAAGACUCUUUGGCUCAGUAUCUAGACUGCAGAAGACCCCAACCUACUAACACCCCAACCAUGGGGGACACAGAGUAUAGGGGUUGGCAGGAACCUCCUUCAUGUCCCUCAGGGAACAGGGCAGAUAGAUGACAUGGCGUUCCUCAGGUCACACAACCAGGGAACCUGGGUUGUCAUGAGAAACCUUCAAAGGGAGUGUGUUUGUGCCUUUCUAGGUGGGAUGAGGCGGCUUCGCUGGGUGCUGAGUCAGGGGGAGAGGCUGAGCUCAGCAUGCCGGGAUAAGAAAGGGAGUGUGCAGGUGGGGUGUCGUGGGGAAGCUGGGGCCGAGGAGAACCCAGGAUGUUGCACAAGGAAGAGCGGGAGUGGGGGAAGGGCCACUUUUAUAAGGCAGUGGAAGAGGACAGGUCCAGGCUCCCUGGACGGAGGGCUGCCCGCCCCCGUGAUGAUGCUUCAUACUGCAGGGAUCAAAGCUGUCCUGUGCUCCAUUCCCUGGGAACGGGGAAGAGUGCUGGGGCCACUAACACUCGAGCUUCUCACGGGGGCCUGCUUGAUGUAGCUGCCUCCGUUUCCCUCAUGGCCAGCUCCCGCCCCCGCUUGUUUCUGAAGAGGCCUGUUUUAGCCCAGUUGUCCUCCUGCCGCCUCCAGCUUGGGUGGCUGACUCAGCCCCUGGCUUGAUGUCCAGGGGGCCUGUGGCUGUCCAUCUCAUCAAUGCCAAGCUUCUCUCUCUGGCUUUCACUGGCUUCUGCACAUCAGCCCCCACCUCCAUCUCUCUUUGUCCUGGACAGUGGCUCUGGACUCACCCUAGUUUAUCUGUUCAGUGACCUUGGCAUCUGACUCAAUUUUGUCUUUGGUCUUUGCAUAGUCAGACACAGGGCAUGCUUCGGCCCGGGCCCCUUCCCACCCUGUACUUUAGAAAACUCUCAGUGGCAGAUGAAUCCCUGCAGCCUUCUCUGUUAGCCUCUCUCUCAGCUUCACUUUCUGCAGUGGGCCCUGAUGAGGCCUGGCUCAGGCCAGAAAGCCCAGGCUUGUUUCAGGUCUGCCUGUCUGUGGGUGGCUGCUUGGUCUGGCACAGGACCCUGUGUGGGGAGAUGAGAAAGCCUGGUGGAAGGGAGACAGCUGGAGAGUCCUCUGGCCAAGUCUGGAAGACACAAUAGGGUGGUGACGAAUGGGAAGGAUUCUUCAGAGGGAGGGGACCUGGGCUGGGUAUCCAGAUCAUAAGGAGAAAAGAAUUUGAACUUUCUUCUGGGGUUUGUGCAUUCUAGUGAAUAAUUUCUGCAGUAUGACUUCUUAGAUCAUUAUCUGAGGUUUCCAAGUAUCUUCCCAUUAGGACCCCCUCUGUCUCUCACUCCUCAUAUUCCUCCAUUCCUUCUCUGGCCUCUGGCUCAACUGCCCCUGCCCUUUCAGUACAGGAGACUAAACCCAGAGGUGCUUUAUCAGUGAGUUACAUCUCAAGCCCUUUAAAAUUUUUAAUUUGGAGCCAGUCUUGCUAAGUUGCCCAGACUAACCUUGAACAUGUGAUCCUCCUGCUUCAGCCUCCCAAGUAGCCGGGCUUACAGGCAUGCAUGCAGCUGCACCUGGCCUGGUUUAUGUUGAGCUUUUUGACGUCUUUGAAUGAGUGUUAAUUUCCCCAUUUUGCGUACAAAGGCUUAGAAGGAUCUGGUAAUUUACUUACAGACUCAAAGCCAAUAAUGUUAGCUCUGGGAAAUGAAUCAAGUCCACCUGAAUCCAGAGCCCACGCUCAUCCCUUUACACUCUCAGUACAGAUAUCUGUGUGGCAUAUGCACGUGUGUUCUUGUAUGGGGUUUGUAUUUUCAACUGUGUGUGACUGCCUCAGAAGUGGACUGUUUUUGCUCACGACAUGUUUUUUUUUUUUUUCCCCCUAAGCUUCAUGGAAUCAGAAAUGACAGUGUUAGCCCAGCAUGGUGGUGCAUGCCUGUAAUUCCAGUGGUUUGGGAGGCUGAGGCAGGAGGAUCAAGAGUUCAAAGCCAGCCUCAGCAAAAGUGAGGCACUAAGCAACUCAAUGAGACUCUACAUAAAAUGCAAAAUAGGGCUGGGGAAUGUGGCUCAGGGGCUGAGUGCCCUUGAGUUCAAUCCCUGGUACCCCCCCACCCCCACCCAAAUGCCAAUGUUUGGCUCUGCAGCUUCAGAACCUAGCUUCUGCCCUGCCCAGGGGAAGAGGAAAGUGGUUUCAUCACUGUCACCUGGCAUAGUGGCAGUCAUGGCAACGACGUGGCUUCUAGUUGAAAAUGUAAAAGUGUUUGCAAUGGUAAAGUGGAGAAAGAGGGGGUCAGAGAGCCUGUGCUCUAGGCUCAACCAGCCUUUUACCAAGUACAGGACCCUGGGCAAUCUUUGGACUUCACUCUCCUGAACUGUGCAAUGGUGGGGCGUGGGGGUUGGAUUAGAAGACACAGUGUGAAGAGCAUUCUGGGUAAAAGAGAAGGUAUCAGCCAUUCAUAAAUACCGACUGGAGAUGUUGGAGAAUUGGGACACAUUUUCCCCAGCUGGCUUUCGUUGUCUUUUUCUUUUCCCUUCCCUCCCUUUCUCCUCUUUCUCAUUCUUUUUUCUUUUCUAAUACUGGGGACUGAGUCCAGGGCCUCACAUCCAUUAGCAAGAACUCUACAACUGAAUGUAUUCCCAGCCUUUUAAAUUUUCAAAAAAAAUUUUGAUCUAGGGUCUUGCUCAGUUGUCCAGGUUAGCCUUAAACUUGUGAUCUCCUGCCUUGGCCUCCCCAGUAGCUGGGAUUACAGGCGUGCACACCACGGCAUCCAGCUCUGUUCUUAUGGGACAUCUUGAGGACAGUGCAACCUUCCAUCCCCCUCCCAGAGAGGGCCUAAUUGGAUGGGCCAUCCAAAAUGAGACCUCUCAUAAUGGCAGAAUGGACAACCUGGCAGCCUCCUUCCUCUCAUCAGGGGACAAUAGGAAUUAUUAAAAAUCAAAUUAGUCAUUCCAGAUGCUAAGAACCCUCAAUGAUGAACGUGGUGACGCUGCCCUGUGAGCUAAGCUUGGGAAGGGGUGAUGCUCCUGAGUGAACGAAUGCUGGGAUGCUGUUUUAUAAGGGGCAGAGUCAGAGACAAGCUGGGAGCAGUGGCCUUCCCCUGGUGAGAACCAGGUGCUGAGGGAAAAACCCACCAGUGCUCAUGGUGGAUGGAGACACGCCUGUUCCCCGCCUGAGGAGGACAUUGGCUGCUGCUCUCUGUGGGAGCCUGAGGGCUCCAGAGGGCCACUGCUGCUCUCCUGAGCCAGCAGCUGCUGCCCAGGGGAGGGUGUGCAUGAGCAAGUGGCCAAACUCUGGGUUAGAAAAAGAUGGAAAUAUGGGAGUGAUGUGGUCCAGGUGAUGGGAAAAAAGAGACUGUAGUUUCCUAAAGGACAGGAAAUCAAAGAGCAAGACCAACAGGUCUGCAAGGGAAUGGGACAGAACUCUGUCUCAAGGUCUUCUUUGUUGGAAUUUGUAAGAAAUCAGCCCUUUUGCCGGGCCCUGUGGCACACGCUUUUAUAGGCUAUUCAGCUAUACAGGAGGCUGAGGCAGAAGGAUUGCAAGUAUGAGGCCAGCCUCAGCAAGACCUUGUUUCAAAAUAAAAAAUAAAAAGGACCAGGGAUGUAGCUCAGUGGAACAGUGCCACUGGGUUGAAUCGCCAGUCCUGGAAAAAGGAAAAACAAAAAAUAAAAUAAGAAAUGGAACUUUCUUUGGAGGUUGUGUUGUGUGUUGCUGUUUAGACCUGCCUGAUCCUCCAGUGAGAUGAACCAAUAGGCCUUGCAUAUCUCCAUUUUAGCUCUCCAUAGUUGACCUGGGACCCAUUCUCCAGGAAGAAGUUAUCCAGAAAAAGGCUAGAACUCAUCCCCUAUUUUCUUGCAGGGGAUCUUGCUGAGAUGGGAUAGAGGAACACUAAAUCCUGGUGGUGGGUGACUGGCGAGUCCCCAUGGUUACUGGGAGCAGAAGGAGGAUCCAGGGGGCUAGUAGUGGUAGAGAUGACCAUCCACACACACAUGUGAGAGACUGAAUUCCCUGAAGGCUGUUCAGGUUAGCAAGGAAUGACUUGAGGGAGACCAAAGGAAUAAGAUAUGUUCAGGAUCUGGAUUCACAUAUUCCUCAAUGCCCAUUCUGGCACCGAUGAUUGGACUGGAAACAUAGCCAAGAGGUUAUUUUGUCCAUCUUCCUGCCUCAGGCAGGACUGACUAAAUUUUGAUAUAUGGUUGUCUUCUUGUUUCCCUAUAUCUCCAGGGAUCACCAUAUUAUGUUUUAUUCUACUCACCCACCCAUUCACCUGUGCAUCCAGCCAUCCAUAGUUUAUUGAGGAUGAACAAGGCAAGGUUCCUUUUCCUGAAGACUCUUAGUAUAGGGCGCGGAUGUUGCUCAGUAGGAGGGCACUUGCCAAG